GCUUGCUACUGAUCUUAGCGGCGGACGGGUGAGUAAUGCUUAGGAAUCUGCCUAUUAGUGGGGGACAACAUUUCGAAAGGAAUGCUAAUACCGCAUACGUCCUACGGGAGAAAGCAGGGGAUCUUCGGACCUUGCGCUAAUAGAUGAGUCUAAGUCGGAUUAGCUAGUUGGUGGGGUAAAGGCCUACCAAGGCGACGAUCUGUAGCGGGUCUGAGAGGAUGAUCCGCCACACUGGGACUGAGACACGGCCCAGACUCCUACGGGAGGCAGCAGUGGGCAAUAUUGGACAAUGGCCGCAAGCCUGAUCCAGCCAUGCCGCGUGUGUGAAGAAGGCCUUAUGGUUGUAAAGCACUUUAAGCGAGGAGGAGGCUACUUUACUUAAUACCUAGAGAUAGUGGACGUUACUCGCAGAGUAAGCGCCGGCUAACUCUG
This 432-nucleotide ribosomal RNA is filed under the name Acinetobacter sp. DsA.N033. RNAcentral describes it as "bacterial SSU rRNA". It matches the Rfam family "Bacterial small subunit ribosomal RNA", at positions 78 to 505 of the family's 1533-position model. Lineage: Bacteria; Pseudomonadati; Pseudomonadota; Gammaproteobacteria; Moraxellales; Moraxellaceae. The record is from RNAcentral.